GCGGCGUGCUUACACAUGCAAGUCGAGUGCGCGCCCGUAGCAAUACGGGUGGCGCACGGCGCACGGGUGCGUAACACGUGGGCAAUCUGCCCUCCGAUGGGGAAUAACCCCGCGAAAGCGGGGCUAAUUCCGCAUAACAUUCCUUGGACUUCGGUUUGGGGACUCAAAGGCGUAAGUCGUCGGAGGAGGAGCCCGCGCACGAUUAGCUAGUUGGUAGGGUAACGGCCUACCAAGGCUUUGAUCGUUAGCUGGUCUGAGAGGAUGGCCAGCCACACUGGAACUGAGACACGGUCCAGACUCCUACGGGAGGCAGCAGUGGGGAAUCUUGCACAAUGGGCGAAAGCCUGAUGCAGCGACGCCGCGUGGGGGAUGAAGCUUCUCGGAGUGUAAACCCCUUUCGACCCGGACGAAUACCCUGCAAAGGGGGUGACGGUACGGGUAUAAGAAGCCCCGGCUAACUACGUGCCAGCAGCCGCGGUAAGACGUGGGGGGCCAGCGUUGCUCGGAAUUACUGGGUGUAAAGGGUCAGUAGGCGGUGUGGCAAGUCGGGAGUGAAAUCUCUGGGCUUAACUCA
Molecule: ribosomal RNA, 574 nt
Filed under: uncultured bacterium
Lineage: Bacteria
Description: bacterial SSU rRNA
Rfam family: Bacterial small subunit ribosomal RNA
Source: RNAcentral